Molecule: long non-coding RNA, 428 nt
Organism: Alligator mississippiensis (American alligator)
Lineage: Eukaryota; Metazoa; Chordata; Crocodylia; Alligatoridae
Exons: 2
Source: RefSeq, a predicted model, not a curated record
UAAAAGAUGGUUUCAUGCACCCUACAGAAAAAAUACUGAAUAGCUGCAAAUGCCUCUUAAGAGAGAGCUGUAUUAAAAUAUUAGAAAACCUAGUUUGCAUCCAUCAAAAGCCUGAUUCUGAACCUUUAAAUAUUAUCAAGAGUUUUAUGAUUGAUUUCAGCAGGAACAAAGAAAGAGAAAAGAUUCAACCAUUUCUUUCAGCUACCUCCUUGCUUAUCUCUAUCGUGGCUACAGGCUCUCUCGUCACACAGUACAACGCACAGGUCUUGGCCCCUGGUUGGAAGGUCACUUCACGUGUGAAGGUUCCCCCAAAGGCUGAAAAGUGUCUGGAUUCCAGUCUUCUCUCAAACUCCUGCCAUCAGACCUCUCAAAUAUGUGAGAACUUGUUGGUGCAGAUAAAUAAAGAAGUGUUUGUUAACAUGGAAGAA